Molecule: non-coding RNA, 1828 nt
Organism: Camelus dromedarius (Arabian camel)
Lineage: Eukaryota; Metazoa; Chordata; Mammalia; Artiodactyla; Camelidae
Source: the annotation of a RefSeq genome assembly
CAUAUAUUCUCUUCUGUACAUAACCAUAAUGCUUUGGAAUUCAACCACAGAAGGGCAGGGAGGAGAUGGGGAAGGUCACAAACAUUGUGAACUUCUCCUUAACUCUCUGUUUGGCCCCUGGAGGGUGCUGCUGCCUAAAUUGGAAAUGGCUUUUCUGAAAAAGAUCAGAACAAGCUCAUAAAAAGCUUCCUUCCCCACAGUUUAAAGAGAUGUUCUAACAACAUUUCUUGCACAGUGACGGGUAAAGCGUUUUAGACUCCAGGGGCAGGCAGUACUGUUAAGUCGGCCUCUCUUCCUAACACUCACUGUAGAGUCCAUAAGAAGAGGAAAUCUAAAUCCCCUGUCAUUUCUCAAACUCAGAGCAACUUGGGUUCGAGUCCACCAGUCAUCAGACUUUUGUUUGUGGAGAAUCUGCCAGAAAGGAGUUCACUGCCUCUUCACUGCUCCACCAUGAUCUUGGUGUUCACCUUGAUGCUGGAGGUGCUCCUGUUCCUGGGAGGAGCCGCAGCUCAGUCAGUGACCCAGCCUGACAGGCACGGCAUCACUGUCCCUGAAGGAGCCCGCCUGGAGCUGAGGUGCAACUACUCAUCCUCUUAUCAACCGACUCCCUUCUGGUACGUGCAGUACCCCAACCAAGGACUCCAGCUUCUCCUGAAGUACACGUCUGGAAAUGGCCUUGUUUCAGGCAUCAAAGGUUUUGAGGCUGAAUUUAGGAGGAAUGAAACCUCCUUCCACCUGAAGAAAACGUCAGCCCAUUGGAGCGACUCAGCAGAGUACUUCUGUGCUCUGAGUGACACAGUGCCUGAGUCUGCGGGGGGAGCUGAACACCAACCUCCUGUGACAUUGUAGCCUGAAAGACUCAGGGGCUCAGCCUGAGCAUAUUCUGUGAGGGCAAACAGCACAGAGAAUACAGAAUCCGGAAAGUGUUUUGUUCCUAUGGGCAUCUCAGAUUCUUUUCAUUUUCAUCUUUCCUUAUCUCUUCUUUUUUCUUCCCUUUUUUCCCUUUUUCUUUUCUUUCCUUUUUUUUUUUUUUUCCAUUUUGCAAAGGGAAGUUUUCUGAAGUUUGGAAUUUUUAUCCUCUAGAGUCAGGAUUCCAGAGGGAAUGAGGCUGUCUGAUCUUCAACAAGCUAGAAGGAGCUACUUUCUCCCACGUUGUUUGAAAUAGUGAUGGGCUGAGAUGGCUUGAGGUCGGCCAUGUGAGUUGAUAUAAGGCAAGUCAGAGAAUUUGACUUACAGCAUUACUCUCAUUUCACAAGCUAUCAGAAAACCCAGGACAGUUGUUUAUUUCUAACUGUGUUAUCUCCAGUCUAUUUUACAGGCAUUCAGAUAGGCUUCUUUCCUUAAAGGACUUCAGCUCUUUGAUUAAAGCAUUUGGGGCUGAUGCACUUAAUUAGAGCUGGCAUUUAAGGAUGUAUAUGAGAGGACCUCUCCAAGACAAUAUAGUAUGACAGAAAAAAUCCUUUAACCAGCGGUCCCGAGUAACAAUCAUUCUAAGUUAAAUACAAUGUCACCCCAAAAUUCCACGUGGAAUCUUGGGAUUGGUGAUUCUGAGUCAGACUCAGCCAGGCUACCUCUAUCCUUUUUCUCCCUUUUAAUUCAAUUCUUUAAUACUCACAGGGGGCUCUGUAAUAAUUAGUGAUUUCUCAGUCAUCUUUACUUAUUUGUCUGCACUAUCUCUCACAGUCUCUUCACUAAACAUUUGCAACAUUCUUGAACUGUCCUCCUGAGCUUCCGUGUCUGCAGAUCAGUUCACUUCUUACUUCAGUGAAAUAUACAGGCCCUCAUUCUCCAUCGCUUUGACAUCCAAAUCAUUCUACAGAGAAUCAUU